CAAGUUGAAUCCCAGUGUUGGACGUUGGGCCUGGUGGGAGAUAAGGACCCCCAGUCCUACAGAGGUUUUUCAAGUACAACAGAGGCACUUCUUGGAGGACUUCUAGACACAGCCAUUGGACUUACUAAAAGCAGGACUUUUAGGAUGUAUGUUACAUAUAUGCAUAGAAUAAGAUUCAAAAAAAUAAAUACCAGACUGUAAACAGAGAUGAUCUCU
This 216-nucleotide long non-coding RNA is filed under the name Callithrix jacchus (white-tufted-ear marmoset). RNAcentral's name for it is "lncRNA (ENSCJAG00000084218.1)". The record is from RNAcentral. Lineage: Eukaryota; Metazoa; Chordata; Mammalia; Primates; Cebidae.